RNAcentral lists this ribosomal RNA (400 nucleotides) under uncultured bacterium. RNAcentral describes it as "bacterial SSU rRNA". It matches the Rfam family "Bacterial small subunit ribosomal RNA", at positions 129 to 524 of the family's 1533-position model. The record is from RNAcentral.
CCUGAUGGAGGGGGAUAACUACUGGAAACGGUAGCUAAUCCCGCAUAACGUCGCAAGACCAAAGAGGGGGACCUUCGGGCCUCUUGCCAUCAGACGUGCCCAGAUGGGAUUAGCUAGUAGGUGGGGUAACGGCUCACCUAGGCGACGAUCCCUAGCUGGUCUGAGAGGAUGACCAGCCACACUGGAACUGAGACACGGUCCAGACUCCUACGGGAGGCAGCAGUGGGGAAUAUUGCACAAUGGGCGAAAGCCUGAUGCAGCCAUGCCGCGUGUAUGAAGAAGGCCUUCGGGUUGUAAAGUACUUUCAGCGGGGAGGAAGGCGAUAAGGUUAAUAACCUUGUCGAUUGACGUUACCCGCAGAAGAAGCACCGGCUAACUCUGUGCCAGCAGCCGCGGUAAU